GAUGAACGCUGGCGGCGUGCUUAACACAUGCCAGUCGAACGAAGCACCUUAUCUGAUUUCCUUCGGGACUGAUUAUUUUGUGACUGAGUGGCGGACGGGUGAGUAACUCGUGGGUAACCUGCCUUGUACAGGGGGAUAACAAUUGGAAACGGCUGCUAAUACCGCAUAAGCGCACAGCAUCCCAUGCUGCGGUGUGAAAAAGUCCCGUGGCAUAAGAUGUACCCGCGUUGGAUUGGCUAGUUGGUGAGGUUACGGCCUACCAAGGCGAGGAUCCAUAGCCGGGCAGGGAGAGUGGCCGGACACAUUGGGAGUGAGGCACGGGACGAACUCCUACGGGAGGAGGGAGUGGGGAAUAAUGAACAAUGGGCGAAGGACUGAUGCAGCGAGGGCGCGUGAGCGAAGAAGUAUUUCGGUAAGUAAAGUUCUAUCAGCAGGGAAGGUAAUGACGGUACCUGACUAAGAAGCACCGGCUAAAUAAGUG
RNAcentral lists this ribosomal RNA (481 nucleotides) under uncultured bacterium. Its description in RNAcentral is "partial 16S ribosomal RNA". It matches the Rfam family "Bacterial small subunit ribosomal RNA", at positions 28 to 507 of the family's 1533-position model. The record is from RNAcentral.